Molecule: ribosomal RNA, 707 nt
Filed under: Aspergillus niger
Lineage: Eukaryota; Fungi; Ascomycota; Eurotiomycetes; Eurotiales; Aspergillaceae
Description: bacterial SSU rRNA
Rfam family: Eukaryotic small subunit ribosomal RNA
Source: RNAcentral
UUUAUACUGUGAAACUAUGGCUCAUUCCAACCUGGUUGAUAAAUCAGUUAUCGUUUAUUUGAUAGUACCUUACUCUGCCAGUAGUCAUAUGCUUGGGCGCGAUUCCAACCUGGUUGAUCCUGCCAGUAGUCAUAUGCUUGUGCAUGUCUAAGUAUAAGCAAACAUGGAUACCUGUGGUAAUUCUAGAGCUAAUACAUGCUGAAAACCUCGACUUCGGAAGGGGUGUAUUUAUUAGAUAAAAAACCAAUGCCCUUCGGGGCUCCUUGGUGAAUCAUAAUAACUUAACGAAUCGCAUGGCCUUGCGCCGGCGAUGGUUCAUUCAAAUUUCUGCCCUAUCAACUUUCGAUGGUAGGAUAGUGGCCUACCAUGGUGGCAACGGGUAACGGGGAAUUAGGGUUCGAUUCCGGAGAGGGAGCCUGAGAAACGGCUACCACAUCCAAGGAAGGCAGCAGGCGCGCAAAUUACCCAAUCCCGACACGGGGAGGUAGUGACAAUAAAUACUGAUACGGGGCUCUUUUGGGUCUCGUAAUUGGAAUGAGUACAAUCUAAAUCCCUUAACGAGGAACAAUUGGAGGGCAAGUCUGGUGCCAGCAGCCGCGGUAAUUCCAGCUCCAAUAGCGUAUAUUAAAGUUGUUGCAGUUAAAAAGCUCGUAGUUGAACCUUGGGUCUGUCCGCCUCACCGCGAGUACUGGUCCGGCUGGACCUUU